CCGGAAGUAGCCCUGCAGCAACGAGGGAUCGCGCUCACCCAGGCCGGUGAUAUCGAUCACCCCGCAUACCUGCCCAUUGAGAUCGUGCAGUGGCUCGCUGAGGCAGAACACCGGGGCGAACCGCUGCAGGUAGUGUUCAUUGCCCCGUACCAGCGCAGGCAGGUCGUCGGCCAGGCUGACUGCCGGUGCCGUGGUGCCGAUCUCGCCCUCGCCCAGCCUCCGCCCGACCUGGAUCGGGCGCAGCAGCGGUGCAUCUUCCAGGCCAUGGGCCUGCUGCGCGAUCACCAUGCCCUCACGGUUGGCACAGAACAUCGUCCAGCCACGCCCGCCAAAGGCGGCCCACAGCUGUUCCAGCUCCGGCCGCACGCAGCGCGCGAGCCGACGGUCGCCGGGAUCGGAAAGAUGCCGGCCAUCACCCAGCAGCGGACGGUAGUCCGGCUCCUGCCCGGGCAGCAGGCCCGCCGCGCGCGAACGCAGCCAUGACUGCUGCAGCGGCAGCGGCAACACGCCCAAUGAGCGCGCAUCGCCCUCGGCGAAAGCGGCACGUGCCGCCACCAGUUGUUGCUGCCCGACUGUCGUGGCCAUCAUGGACGCAGCCUACACCCGUCGGCGGCAACGCCACGUUACGUUCCGACAACGGAAUGUUUCCGCCAACGGUUCAAACACGGGGUCAGAGGCGUUUUCCUUUGGAAAACGGAUCCGACCCCGUGCCGACCAACAGCGGCGGGAACCUGUCGAAGGCGGGGUGGGUCCGGUUGCGGGGGUGUCAGCCGCAUGGAUGCGGCUGCCAAGCCCCCAGGGGUGAGGGCGCUUUGCUCGCGAAGCACUGCUUCGCAAGCGCGCGAACGCACAGCCGCCAGCGGCUGGGCCGGACCGCGGAGCGGGGUUUACGGCGUCCCCCGCAACCGGGCCCACCCCGCCAUCCCACGGAAUGCCCGCUUUUGCCGUUGCCGUGGACGUUGCUUCGGCGGGUGCAGGGCGCAGUCCUGCAAACCCUCCCCACCCUCCCCCACGCCGAAAGCCCAAGGUUUCCUUGCGCAACGUUAAUCGGCGCAGGGUGAGUCGGCCCCUAAGGCGAGGACGAAAGUCGUAGUCGAUGGGAAGCAGGUUAAUAUUCCUGCACCUCGCGUAAGUGCGAUGGAGGGACGGAGAAGGUUAGGUGUACCAGGCGUUGGUUGUCCUGGGGAAAGGCGGUAGGUUUGGAUCUUUGGCAAAUCCGGGAUCCUUUAAGACCGAGCACCGAGACGAGCCUUUAUGGCGAAGUCACUGAUACCACGCUUCCAGGAAAAGCUCCUAAGCUUCAGCUUACGCAGACCGUACCGUAAACCGACACAGGUGGGUAGGAUGAGAAUUCUCAGGCGCUUGAGAGAACUCGGGUGAAGGAACUAGGCAACAUGGCACCGUAACUUCGGGAGAAGGUGCACCCUUUUUGGUGGCUCGUGCGAGCUAUAGCUGAAGAGGGUCGCAGUAACCAGGCCGCUGCGACUGUUUAUCAAAAACACAGCACUCUGCAAACACGAAAGUGGACGUAUAGGGUGUGACGCCUGCCCGGUGCUGGAAGGUUAAUUGAUGGGGUCAGCCGCAAGGCGAAGCUCUUGAUCGAAGCCCCAGUAAACGGCGGCCGUAACUAUAACGGUCCUAAGGUAGCGAAAUUCCUUGUCGGGUAAGUUCCGACCUGCACGAAUGGCGUAACGACAGCGGCGCUGUCUCCACCCGAGACUCAGUGAAAUUGAAAUCGCUGUGAAGAUGCAGCGUUCCCGUGGCAAGACGGAAAGACCCCGUGAACCUUUACUAUAGCUUUACACUGAACGUUGAGUUCGUCUGUGUAGGAUAGGUGGGAGGCUAUGAAACCAUGGCGCUAGCUGUGGCGGAGCCAUCCUUGAAAUACCACCCUGUCGUGCUUGACGUUCUAACCUGGGCCCAUUAUCUGGGUCGGGGACCGUGUAUGGUGGGUAGUUUGACUGGGGCGGGCUCCUCCUAAAGAGUAACGGAGGAGCUCGAAGGUACGCUCAGCGCGGUCGGACAUCGCGCACUGUGUGCAAAGGCAUAAGCGUGCUUGACUGCAAGAUCGACGGAUCAAGCAGGUAGGAAACUAGGACUUAGUGAUCCGGUGGUUCUGUAUGGAAGGGCCAUCGCUCAACGGAUAAAAGGUACUCCGGGGAUAACAGGCUGAUACCGCCCAAGAGUUCAUAUCGACGGCGGUGUUUGGCACCUCGAUGUCGGCUCAUCACAUCCUGGGGCUGUAGUCGGUCCCAAGGGUAUGGCUGUUCGCCAUUUAAAGUGGUACGCGAGCUGGGUUCAGAACGUCGUGAGACAGUUCGGUCCCUCUCUGCCAUGGGCGUUGGAGAUUUGAGAGGGGCUGCUCCUAGUACGAGAGGACCGGAGUGGACGAACCUCUGGUGUUCCGGUUGUCACGCCAGUGGCAUUGCCGGGUAGCUAUGUUCGGAAACGAUAACCGCUGAAAGCAUCUAAGCGGGAAGCGCGCCUCAAGAUGAGAUCUCCCGGGGCACAAGCCCCCUGAAGGAACCAUGUAGACUACGUGGUUGAUAGGUCAGGUGUGUAAGUACAGCAAUGUAUUGAGCUAACUGAUACUAAUGAUCCGAGAGGCUUGACC
RNAcentral lists this ribosomal RNA (2614 nucleotides) under Stenotrophomonas maltophilia RR-10. RNAcentral's name for it is "bacterial LSU rRNA". The stretch from base 880 to 2611 matches the Rfam family "Bacterial large subunit ribosomal RNA". The record is from RNAcentral. Lineage: Bacteria; Pseudomonadati; Pseudomonadota; Gammaproteobacteria; Lysobacterales; Lysobacteraceae.